This 200-nucleotide ribosomal RNA is filed under the name uncultured Glomus. Its description in RNAcentral is "partial small subunit ribosomal RNA". It matches the Rfam family "Eukaryotic small subunit ribosomal RNA", at positions 591 to 797 of the family's 1831-position model. Lineage: Eukaryota; Fungi; Glomeromycota; Glomeromycetes; Glomerales; Glomeraceae. The record is from RNAcentral.
CCAAUAGCGUAUAUUAAAGUUGUUGCAGUUAAAAAGCUCGUAGUUGAAUUUCGGGAUCAAUUUGUUGGUCGUGCCUCGGUACGUACUGGCAUUAUUGGUUUCUACCUUCUGAAGAACCUUGAUGUCAUUAAUUUGGUGUCUUGGGGAAUCAGGACUGUUACUUUGAAAAAAUUAGAGUGUUUAAAGCAGGCAUACGCUUG